UUGCUCCUGGUGACGAGCGGCGGACGGGCGAGUAAUGUCUGGGAACUGCCUGAUGGAGGGGGAUAACUACUGGAAACGGUAGCUAAUACCGCAUAACGUCGCAAGACCAAAGAGGGGGACCUUCGGGCCUCUUGCCAUCAGAUGUGCCCAGAUGGGAUUAGCUAGUAGGUGGGGUAAUGGCUCGCCUAGGCGACGAUCCCUAGCUGGUCUGAGAGGAUGACCAGCCACACUGGAACUGAGACACGGUCCAGACUCCUACGGGAGGCAGCAGUGGGGAAUAUUGCACAAUGGGCGCAAGCCUGAUGCAGCCAUGCCGCGUGUGUGAAGAAGGCCUUCGGGUUGCAAGCACUUUCAGCGAGGAGGAAGGUGGUGAGCUUAAUACGCUCAUCAAUUGACGUUACUCGCAGAAGAAGCACCGGCCAACUCCGUGCCAGCAGCCGCGGUAAUACGGAGGGUGCAAGCGUUAAUCGGAAUUACUGGGCGUAAAGCGCGCGCAGGCGGUUUGUUAAGUCAGAUGUGAAAUCCCCGGGCUCAACCUGGGAACUGCAUUUGAAACUGGCAAGCUAGAGUCUCGUAGAGGGGGGUAGAAUUCCAGGUGUAGCGGUGAAAUGCGUAGAGAUCUGGAGG
Molecule: ribosomal RNA, 627 nt
Filed under: uncultured bacterium
Lineage: Bacteria
Description: bacterial SSU rRNA
Rfam family: Bacterial small subunit ribosomal RNA
Source: RNAcentral